This 618-nucleotide ribosomal RNA is filed under the name Vibrio parahaemolyticus. RNAcentral's name for it is "partial 23S ribosomal RNA". It matches the Rfam family "Bacterial large subunit ribosomal RNA", at positions 1 to 663 of the family's 2925-position model. The record is from RNAcentral. Lineage: Bacteria; Pseudomonadati; Pseudomonadota; Gammaproteobacteria; Vibrionales; Vibrionaceae.
GUUGUAUGGUUAAGUGACUAAGCGUACACGGUGGAUGCCUUGGCAGUCAGAGGCGAUGAAGGACGUAUUAACUUGCGAUAAGCCCAGAUUAGGCAGUAAAAGCCACUUGAGUCUGGGAUUUCCGAAUGGGGAAACCCAACUGCAUAAGCAGUUACUGUUAACUGAAUACAUAGGUUAACAGGGCGAACCGGGGGAACUGAAACAUCUAAGUACCCCGAGGAAAAGAAAUCAACCGAGAUUCCGAAAGUAGCGGCGAGCGAAAUUGGACUAGCCCUUAAGCUUUACACGCGUUAGACGAACGGUCUGGAAAGUCCGACGAUACAGGGUGAUAGUCCCGUAGUUGACGACGUGUGUUCAGUGAAAUCGAGUAGGGCGGGACACGUGAUAUCCUGUCUGAAUAUGGGGGGACCAUCCUCCAGGGCUAAAUACUACUGAAUGACCGAUAGUGAACCAGUACCGUGAGGGAAAGGCGAAAAGAACCCCUGUGAGGGGAGUGAAAUAGAACCUGAAACCGUGUACGUACAAGCAGUAGGAGCAGGCUUUGUCCUGUGACUGCGUACCUUUUGUAUAAUGUGUCAGCGACUUAUAUUCAGUGGCAAGGUUAACCAUCUAGUGGAG